RNAcentral lists this ribosomal RNA (471 nucleotides) under uncultured bacterium. RNAcentral's name for it is "bacterial SSU rRNA". It matches the Rfam family "Bacterial small subunit ribosomal RNA", at positions 335 to 798 of the family's 1533-position model. The record is from RNAcentral.
ACUCCUACGGGAGGCAGCAGUGGGGAAUAUUGCACAAUGGGCGCAAGCCUGAUGCAGCCAUGCCGCGUGUAUGAAGAAGGCCUUCGGGUUGUAAAGUACUUUCAGCAGUGAGGAAGGUGGGUAUGUUAAUAGCAUACUCAUUUGACGUUAGCUGCAGAAGAAGCACCGGCUAACUCCGUGCCAGCAGCCGCGGUAAUACGGAGGGUGCGAGCGUUAAUCGGAAUUACUGGGCGUAAAGCGCAUGCAGGUGGUUUGUUAAGUCAGAUGUGAAAGCCCGGGGCUCAACCUCGGAAUUGCAUUUGAAACUGGCAAACUAGAGUACUGUAGAGGGGGGUAGAAUUUCAGGUGUAGCGGUGAAAUGCGUAGAGAUCUGAAGGAAUACCGGUGGCGAAGGCGGCCCCCUGGACAGAUACUGACACUCAGAUGCGAAAGCGUGGGGAGCAAACAGGAUUAGAUACCCUGGUAGCGUAA